Molecule: ribosomal RNA, 495 nt
Filed under: uncultured bacterium
Lineage: Bacteria
Description: partial 16S ribosomal RNA
Rfam family: Bacterial small subunit ribosomal RNA
Source: RNAcentral
GACGAACGCUGGCGGCGUGCCUAAUACAUGCAAGUAGAACGCUGAAGGAGGAGCUUGCUCUUCUGGAUGAGUUGCGAACGGGUGAGUAACGCGUAGGUAACCUGCCUGGUAGCGGGGGAUAACUAUUGGAAACGAUAGCUAAUACCGCAUAAGAGUAGAUGUUGCAUGACAUUUACUUAAAAGGUGCAAUUGCAUCACUACCAGAUGGACCUGCGUUGUAUUAGCUAGUUGGUGGGGUAACGGCUUACCAAGGCGACGAUACAUAGCCGACCUGAGAGGGUGUUGGCCAACACGGGGCAGGAGACACGCCCCAGACCCUUCCGGGAGGAGGCAGUAGGGAUCUUUGGGAAAGGGCCGAAAUUCUGACCGAGCAGCCCCGGGUGAGGAAGGAGGUUUUUGGUACCGAAAAGCUUUUUUGAAAGAGAAGAGCGGUGGGGGGAGUGAAAAGUUCACCCUGGCAGGGUAUCUAACAAGAAGGGGCCGCCUACCUACGUC